Non-coding RNA from Caerostris darwini, 105 nucleotides. NCBI's taxonomy places the organism in Eukaryota, Metazoa, Arthropoda, Arachnida, Araneae, Araneidae. The record is from the annotation of a GenBank genome assembly.
AUAUCAUGCUGAAUAUACCGGUUCUCGUUAGAUCACCGAAGUCAAGCAUCAUUGGGCGCGGUCAGUACUUGGGUGGGUGACCACCUGGGAACACCGCGUGCCGUU